This 653-nucleotide long non-coding RNA is filed under the name Panax ginseng (ginseng). RNAcentral describes it as "long non-coding RNA (PGIN_LNC011509)". The record is from RNAcentral. Lineage: Eukaryota; Viridiplantae; Streptophyta; Magnoliopsida; Apiales; Araliaceae.
CUGUUCCGAAAAGGCGUUCUUUCCCAUCUUUUCUUUUUUCUUUUUUUUCUCUUUAGGUCUCUUUCAAUGCGGAGUUUCCUAAAGGGCAGUCUUCUACAGAAGGCUCGAGAAGGGAGGAUCCGUACCUUUUAGUCUUUAGCUUCCUUGCUCUCUUUAGUCCUAGACUUUUUCGGAGUAAGGUCUGCUUGUUACCCCUCUUUUGUUUUAUCAUCCUUUUGUUGAAUCCAAUGUCCGAUUCUUCCUUCCGUAUAUGCUUUGUAAUCCCUGGUUAAGGAGCCUUAUCAAGUGGGUGCUUCUUUCUCAUGGGCAGACGGGGCGUAAUAUAUUCGCUCCCUUGCGUUUUUGGCUGCUGAAGUUCUUUAUCCAAUACCUAGUUGUUAGCUAGUAUCGGAGUGGCCUCUUAAAGGACCAUUACUGAACUGGGCAUAACGUCUUUCCAAGAUCCCUCGCCUUUUCUGCGUCUUCCGAAGAGCUAGAGCGAAGGGGGCUAGAGCAAGUGAGAAGGUAGCUGCUAAAGGGACUAAGCCUGUCUAGAACAGUUCCUGUCUUCAACUUCUCUUCUCACCCCUUCCUCUUAUUAAGACUAUCCAAUGUUCUCUCUUCUGUUCUCUAUUUUCUAUUAGUUGGAGCUGUCUGCUUUUCCCUCCCUCUUU